Molecule: ribosomal RNA, 139 nt
Filed under: uncultured eukaryote
Lineage: Eukaryota
Description: partial 18S ribosomal RNA
Rfam family: Eukaryotic small subunit ribosomal RNA
Source: RNAcentral
UGGUGGAGUGAUUUGUCUGCUUAAUUGCGAUAACGAGCGAGAUCUCAACCUGCUAAAUAGCUACGCCUUGUCUGACAAGGUGGCCAGCUUCUUAGAGGGACACCGUAAGAAAAUUACGGGGAGGUUUGAGGCAAUAACA